This 253-nucleotide ribosomal RNA is filed under the name uncultured bacterium. Its description in RNAcentral is "partial 16S ribosomal RNA". It matches the Rfam family "Bacterial small subunit ribosomal RNA", at positions 524 to 776 of the family's 1533-position model. The record is from RNAcentral.
UACGGAGGGGGCAAACGUUUAUCGGAAUUACUGGUCGUAAAGCGUGCGUAGGCGGCUGCUUAAGUCAGAUGUGAAAGCCCCGGGCUUAACCUGGGAACGGCAUUUGAUACUGGGCAGCUCGAGUUGAGUAGAGGAGAGGGGAAUUUCCGGUGUAGCGGUGAAAUGCGUAGAGAUCGGAAGGAACACCAGUGGCGAAGGCGCCUCUCUGGACUCAAACUGACGCUGAGGUACGAAAGCGUGGGUAGCAAACAGG